UUAUUUAAGAGAUCUAAUCCUCUUUUGAGACCCAGAACACAUUGUUCAGUAUGAGUUUUGAUACAGAUAAGAAGGAACAUG
Delphinapterus leucas (beluga whale) is the source of this 81-nucleotide small nucleolar RNA. Ensembl annotates it as small nucleolar RNA SNORA40. Lineage: Eukaryota; Metazoa; Chordata; Mammalia; Artiodactyla; Monodontidae. The record is from Ensembl.